RNAcentral lists this ribosomal RNA (254 nucleotides) under uncultured bacterium. RNAcentral describes it as "partial 16S ribosomal RNA". It matches the Rfam family "Bacterial small subunit ribosomal RNA", at positions 524 to 776 of the family's 1533-position model. The record is from RNAcentral.
UACGUAGGGUGCGAGCGUUGUCCGGAAUUACUGGGCGUAAAGAGCUCGUAGGCGGUGUGUCGCGUCGGCCGUGAAAACCUGGGGCUCAACUCUGGGCGUGCGGUCGAUACGGGCAUCACUUGAGUUCGGCAGGGGAGACUGGAAUUCCUGGUGUAGCGGUGAAAUGCGCAGAUAUCAGGAGGAACACCGGUGGCGAAGGCGGGUCUCUGGGCCGAUACUGACGCUGAGGAGCGAAAGCAUGGGUAGCGAACAGG